CCAAAAUAUUUGUGUCAUAUUGCUCUUGAUACAAAUAUUAUGGUCUUCAUAACUUGUGUAUACUAUAUGCAAGUUGAUUAGUGACGCCAUUCCCGUUGUUUUCAUUUUAUUUUUUAUCAUGUACCUAACUAAUCUCUACUAGCUUAUUGAUAAUGAUACAUGUUGAUCAAGUUGAACACUUCCACAAGCGUUUACUUUUCUUUUUGAUUAAUAUAAUUAGCAUCCAACCUAAAUGAUCUUUUAUGCUCUCGUGUUCAUGCAAUGCUGAACUCUCCAUAGCCAUUAAUUCUAAAGGUUGUGUACUUGAAGAUUUGGGGAUAGAUAUAACCAAACGCAAACUCUAUCAAUAGUCAAUUCAGAAACUUCAACAAAAACCAAUUAUACAAUGUUCUUCAAUUGGAGAGAUAUACAUUUUCAUUGUUUUUGUCCUUUCUCUAAUAAUCCAAACACGAGAAGAGACCAAAGGAAAAGAGGAAACAAUAAUCACAAGAAAAGAAUAGAAAAGAAAAAAAGUAAAGGAAGAGAAGAGAAGAAGAAUAGAGGAAAUGGAAGAAGACAAAAAAAGAAUAAUUGAUACUAGUAAUUAAGAGGAUUGAGAAGAAGAAAGAUGUUUGUAUUUGAUAAUUAUUAGUAUUAUUAUUGUGUUUCAUAAAUAAAUAUUGGCUCAACUCAACUUUCCUAGGUGAGGAGGAAACAAUUGAGGCUACAAAUUGUGUGUUUCGUAAUGUAGCACUCUGGAGUCAGAACAACAUUUAUUUUCUACUUUGUGGUUUUCCCCUUUCAAUAUGCAAAUUGCAAAUUGUUAAAUGUU
Long non-coding RNA from Trifolium pratense (red clover), 811 nucleotides. RefSeq lists it as uncharacterized. The transcript is spliced from 2 exons. The record is from RefSeq and is a predicted model, not a curated record. Lineage: Eukaryota; Viridiplantae; Streptophyta; Magnoliopsida; Fabales; Fabaceae.